GACGAACGCUGGCGGCGUGCUUAACACAUGCAAGUCGAGCGGAGCAGCGAACGGGGGAGUAACGCGUGAGUAACUACCCCCCCCUCUGGGGUAACAGUUGGAAACGGAUGCGAAUACCGGAUCGUGGGUGAUGACUGGCGUCCUAUCAGCAUGUUGGUGGGGUAGUGGCCUACCAAGGAGGCGACGGGUAGCCGGCCUGAGAGGGCGACCGGCCACCUUGGGCUGAGGUACGGCCCAAACGCGUACGGGAUGCAGUAGUGGGGAAUAUUGCACAAUCGAGCAGACCCUGAGGCAGAAGCGUUGCGUGCGUGAUGACGGUUCACGGGUUGUAAACCGCUUUCAGCUAUGACGCGUUAGUCGCAGAAGAAGCACCGGCUAACUCCGUGCCAGCAGCCGCGGUAAUAC
RNAcentral lists this ribosomal RNA (405 nucleotides) under uncultured bacterium. RNAcentral's name for it is "partial 16S ribosomal RNA". It matches the Rfam family "Bacterial small subunit ribosomal RNA", at positions 28 to 526 of the family's 1533-position model. The record is from RNAcentral.